Molecule: ribosomal RNA, 253 nt
Filed under: uncultured bacterium
Lineage: Bacteria
Description: partial 16S ribosomal RNA
Rfam family: Bacterial small subunit ribosomal RNA
Source: RNAcentral
UACGAAGGGGGCUAGCGUUGCUCGGAAUCACUGGGCGUAAAGCGCACGUAGGCGGACUCUUAAGUCGGUGGUGAAAUCCUGGAGCUCAACUCCAGAACUGCCUUCGAUACUGGGAGUCUCGAGUCCGGGAGAGGUGAGUGGAACUGCGAGUGUAGAGGUGAAAUUCGUAGAUAUUCGCAAGAACACCAGUGGCGAAGGCGGCUCACUGGCCCGAUAUUGACGCUGAGGAGCGAAAGCGUGGGGAGCGAACAGG